Molecule: ribosomal RNA, 253 nt
Filed under: uncultured bacterium
Lineage: Bacteria
Description: partial 16S ribosomal RNA
Rfam family: Bacterial small subunit ribosomal RNA
Source: RNAcentral
UACGAAGGGGGCUAGCGUUGCUCGGAUUGACUGGGCGUAAAGGGCGCGUAGGCGGUUCGUACAGUCAGACGUGAAAUUCCUGGGCUCAACCUGGGGGCUGCGUUUGAUACGUGCGGACUUGAGUGCGGAAGAGGGUCGUGGAAUUCCCAGUGUAGAGGUGAAAUUCGUAGAGAUGGGGGAGAACACUCGUGGCGAAGGCGGCCAGCUAGACCAGUUCUGACACUGAGGCGCGACAGCGUGGGGAGCAAACAGG